UCUUUAUUAAGAUGUUCUUAAAUAAGCAAUUCAUUUCCUUUUUUCGUUUAGGUAAUACUGCGGCUACCUGCAUGAGGGACGGACGUCUGUUAUGCAUGUUACAAAUUCAUGAAACCAAUAUUCAGCGAUCCGACCGCUGCGCCGCCAGUUUCCCUGUAAUACUGCGGCUACCUGCAUGAGGGACGGACGUCUGUUAUGCAUGUUACAAAUUCAUGAAACCAAUAUUCAGCGAUCCGACCGCUGCGCCGCCAGUUUCCCUGUAAUACUGCGGCUACCUGCAUGAGGGACGGACGUCUGUUAUGCAUGUUACAAAUUCAUGAAACCAAUAUUCAGCGAUCCGACCGCUGCGCCGCCAGUUUCCCUGUAAUACUGCGGCUACCUGCAUGAGGGACGGACGUCUGUUAUGCAUGUUACAAAUUCAUGAAACCAAUAUUCAGCGAUCCGACCGCUGCGCCGCCAGUUUCCCUGUAAUACUGCGGCUACCUGCAUGAGGGACGGACGUCUGUUAUGCAUGUUACAAAUUCAUGAAACCAAUAUUCAGCGAUCCGACCGCUGCGCCGCCAGUUUCCCUGUAAUACUGCGGCUACCUGCAUGAGGGACGGACGUCUGUUAUGCAUGUUACAAAUUCAUGAAACCAAUAUUCAGCGAUCCGACCGCUGCGCCGCCAGUUUCCCUGUAAGAUUUCUUUUUAUUUAAUUAAAAUUUUCGUAACAUACAUGAAUGAAUUCCAUCGGAUAUUUUUUAGGAUAAUUCAUUUCGGUUCAUAUUUUUUUUUAAUUUAAAUUUUCGUUACAUACCUGAUUAGGUUUCAUCACAGUUUUUUGCUUAUAAUUUAUUUGUGUACGAAUUUUUGUUUAACACCUAACACUUCUUUUGAGUAUCAUUUUCUUUUUCAUAACUAACAGUUCAUUACAGUAAUAUUUUUAUGUAUGUAUAUUUUUACUUACUUUAUUUUAAAUACAUACAUAUUUCAAAUUCCUUUUUCAUUUCAAUGGCGCUUCCACGUGACUGUUUUUUAAUUCUGGUAGCCCUCCUAAGGCUACUUCGUUACUUUCUGGCAACCUUUUAACACGUUUUCGCUCAAUUUAAUUUUGGAAACCAAACGUGUAAGGACGCAGGUAUGUGGCUCUUUUGUUCAUUCAUUUUCAUCACGAAUGCUCAGCUUUUUGGUCUUUACGGGACCCCUCAUUCUCUUCAUUUUUUUAAAUUUUUUUUUAAAAUAGAAUACAGUUUUUAUUUUUUGCGCUUACGGGCUAGUCCCUUAAAAUACUGUUUAUAAUCUAAAAUACUGUUUUCUAACUUUUUAAGUUCACUUCUGUGUUUUCUGACGCGCAGGCCAUGUUGGGAAAAGGGACAGAUCAUUUGAGACAUCGUUAAUAAUAAAUAGAAAUAAUUAAUUUCAAACUUUUACUUACAUUUCAUACUGGGAAAGCCAAUUACAGUCUCAAUGGACCUGUCCAACGAUUUUUUCGCCUACCUAUUUUGAGUUUGCUGUGCAGUUGUCCUUCUGUAAUAUGUAGGGUUUUUUUUUUCGAGUGCAAUUUGUUGUUUUA
Molecule: long non-coding RNA, 1553 nt
Filed under: Stegodyphus dumicola
Lineage: Eukaryota; Metazoa; Arthropoda; Arachnida; Araneae; Eresidae
Description: uncharacterized LOC118204760
Source: RNAcentral